UAUUUUUCAUCUUUCUGCUGC
Molecule: non-coding RNA, 21 nt
Filed under: Caenorhabditis elegans
Lineage: Eukaryota; Metazoa; Nematoda; Chromadorea; Rhabditida; Rhabditidae
Source: RNAcentral